RNAcentral lists this long non-coding RNA (505 nucleotides) under Amborella trichopoda. Its description in RNAcentral is "long non-coding RNA (ATRI_LNC004251)". Lineage: Eukaryota; Viridiplantae; Streptophyta; Magnoliopsida; Amborellales; Amborellaceae. The record is from RNAcentral.
CAACACUCAUUACGUAGAAGGAAACAAGACACUUGAACUUUCCAUCAAAAAGUGCAUUGAUCAACAAGAAGGUAGGCUUGAGUUGACUCCCAUGGCAAAUUCGCAGGUUCGAAAUCGUGCGAAACCAAAGGAUUAGGGAUCAUGAGCAUGGUGUUGAGGAUCAGGUCCUCCAGGGCUAAGUCGUUUCGUGUCGAAUUCUUCUAUUCCCAGUCCUCGUCGCUCUCGGUGUGAUCCAACGUCGAGCAUAGCAUGGUGGUGAGGGUCAGGUCCUCCAGGGCUAAGUCGUUUUGAGUCGAAAUCAUCUAUUCCCAACCCUCUCCCCUCUCUGUGUGAUCCAAUAUCUGGCAUUGUAACCUUAGCGCGGCCACCUCGAACCAGUGUGGAUGAUAGCCUCUCGAUCUUCCGAGGUUCCGACCUCACAGCCAAGCUCAAGAUCAAGACCAAAACCAUGAAGCUUCUCCAGUUGGCCAUCUCUCUAAGAAGCCUCCUCUAGUGUGCUUCCUCU